GGCCGGGUGGUCUAGAUUGGUAUGAUUCUACAUUGGGGUUGUAGGGAUCGCGGAUUCAAAUUCCGCCCCGGUCACCA
Molecule: transfer RNA, 77 nt
Filed under: Candidatus Heimdallarchaeota archaeon
Lineage: Archaea; Promethearchaeati; Candidatus Heimdallarchaeota
Description: tRNA-Pro
Source: RNAcentral